AGUCUGCCUUGAAGAUCGGAGUGCUUGCACUCUGUGAAACAAGAUACAGGCUAGCGGCGGACGGGUGAGUAACACGUGAGUAACCUGCCCAAGAGAUCGGGAUAACACCUGGAAACAGAUGCUAAUACCGGAUAACAACAGAUGAUGCCUAUCAACUGUUUAAAAGAUGGUUCUGCUAUCACUCUUGGAUGGACCUGCGGUGCAUUAGCUAGUUGGUAGGGUAACGGCCUACCAAGGCGAUGAUGCAUAGCCGAGUUGAGAGACUGAUCGGCCACAUUGGGACUGAGACACGGCCCAAACUCCUACGGGAGGCAGCAGUAGGGAAUCUUCCACAAUGGACGCAAGUCUGAUGGAGCAACGCCGCGUGAGUGAAGAAGGGUUUCGGCUCGUAAAGCUCUGUUGUUGGUGAAGAAGGACAGGGGUAGUAACUGACCUUUGUUUGACGGUAAUCAAUUAGAAAGUCACGGCUAACUACGUGCCAGCAGCCGCGGUAAUACGUAGGUGGCAAGCGUUGUCCGGAUUUAUUGGGCGUAAAGCGAGUGCAGGCGGUUCGAUAAGUCUGAUGUGAAAGCCUUCGGCUCAACCGGAGAAUUGCAUCAGAAACUGUCGAGCUUGAGUACAGAAGAGGAGAGUGGAACUCCAUGUGUAGCGGUGAAAUGCGUAGAUAUAUGGAAGAACACCGGUGGCGAAGGCGGCUCUCUGGUCUGUUACUGACGCUGAGGCUCGAAAGCAUGGGUAGCGAACA
This 745-nucleotide ribosomal RNA is filed under the name uncultured bacterium. RNAcentral's name for it is "bacterial SSU rRNA". It matches the Rfam family "Bacterial small subunit ribosomal RNA", at positions 60 to 774 of the family's 1533-position model. The record is from RNAcentral.